This 688-nucleotide ribosomal RNA is filed under the name bacterium M-9-296. Its description in RNAcentral is "bacterial SSU rRNA". It matches the Rfam family "Bacterial small subunit ribosomal RNA", at positions 69 to 800 of the family's 1533-position model. The record is from RNAcentral.
AGACCUUCGGGUCUAGUGGCGCACGGGUGCGUAACGCGUGGGAAUCUACCCCUUGGUUCGGAAUAACUCAGAGAAAUUUGAGCUAAUACCGGAUGAUGACGUAAGUCCAAAGAUUUAUCGCCUAGGGAUGAGCCCGCGUAGGAUUAGCUAGUUGGUGAGGUAAAGGCUCACCAAGGCGACGAUCCUUAGCUGGUCUGAGAGGAUGAUCAGCCACACUGGGACUGAGACACGGCCCAGACUCCUACGGGAGGCAGCAGUGGGGAAUAUUGGACAAUGGGCGAAAGCCUGAUCCAGCAAUGCCGCGUGAGUGAUGAAGGCCUUAGGGUUGUAAAGCUCUUUUACCCGGGAUGAUAAUGACAGUACCGGGAGAAUAAGCUCCGGCUAACUCCGUGCCAGCAGCCGCGGUAAUACGGAGGGAGCUAGCGUUGUUCGGAAUUACUGGGCGUAAAGCGUACGUAGGCGGCUUUGUAAGUAAGAGGUGAAAGCCUGGAGCUCAACUCCAGAACUGCCUUUUAGACUGCAUCGCUUGAAUCCAGGAGAGGUGAGUGGAAUUUCCAGUGUAGAGGUGAAAUUCGUAGAUAUUCGGAAGAACACCCAGUGGCGAAGGCGGCUCACUGGACUGGUAUUGACGCUGAGGUACGAAAGCGUGGGGAGCAAACAGGAUUAGAUACCCCUGGUAGUCCCACGC